RNAcentral lists this ribosomal RNA (681 nucleotides) under Curtobacterium sp. Its description in RNAcentral is "bacterial SSU rRNA". It matches the Rfam family "Bacterial small subunit ribosomal RNA", at positions 33 to 726 of the family's 1533-position model. Lineage: Bacteria; Bacillati; Actinomycetota; Actinomycetes; Micrococcales; Microbacteriaceae. The record is from RNAcentral.
ACGCUGGCGGCGUGCUUAACACAUGCAAGUCGAACGAUGAUGCCCAGCUUGCUGGGUGGAUUAGUGGCGAACGGGUGAGUAACACGUGAGUAACCUGCCCCUGACUCUGGGAUAAGCGUUGGAAACGACGUCUAAUACUGGAUAUGAUCACUGGCCGCAUGGUCUGGUGGUGGAAAGAUUUUUUGGUUGGGGAUGGACUCGCGGCCUAUCAGCUUGUUGGUGAGGUAAUGGCUCACCAAGGCGACGACGGGUAGCCGGCCUGAGAGGGUGACCGGCCACACUGGGACUGAGACACGGCCCAGACUCCUACGGGAGGCAGCAGUGGGGAAUAUUGCACAAUGGGCGAAAGCCUGAUGCAGCAACGCCGCGUGAGGGAUGACGGCCUUCGGGUUGUAAACCUCUUUUAGUAGGGAAGAAGCGAAAGUGACGGUACCUGCAGAAAAAGCACCGGCUAACUACGUGCCAGCAGCCGCGGUAAUACGUAGGGUGCAAGCGUUGUCCGGAAUUAUUGGGCGUAAAGAGCUCGUAGGCGGUUUGUCGCGUCUGCUGUGAAAUCCCGAGGCUCAACCUCGGGCUUGCAGUGGGUACGGGCAGACUAGAGUGCGGUAGGGGAGAUUGGAAUUCCUGGUGUAGCGGUGGAAUGCGCAGAUAUCAGGAGGAACACCGAUGGCGAAGGCAGAU